This is a non-coding RNA of Stachybotrys elegans, 116 nucleotides long. The record is from the annotation of a GenBank genome assembly. NCBI's taxonomy places the organism in Eukaryota, Fungi, Ascomycota, Sordariomycetes, Hypocreales, Stachybotryaceae.
GGCAAGGUGGCCGAGUGGUUAAGGCGACGGACUCAAGAUUUCCAUCUUAACUGUUAUCUAUAACAGGGAUUUUUCCGUUAGGGCAACCUGCGCGGGUUCAAAUCCCGUCCUUGUCA